CUACGGGUGGCAGCAGUGGGGAAUAUUGGGCAAUGGGCGCAAGCCUGACCCAGCAACGCCGCGUGAGGGAAGAAGGUCUUCGGAUUGUAAACCUCUGUCCUUGGGGACGAAAAAAAUGACGGUACCCAAGGAGGAAGCUCCGGCUAACUACGUGCCAGCAGCCGCGGUAAUACGUAGGGAGCGAGCGUUGUCCGGAAUUACUGGGCGUAAAGGGUGCGUAGGCGGCUUGGCAAGUCAGAUGUGAAAUCCCCGGGCUUAACUCGGGGGGUGCAUUUGAAACUGCUUGGCUUGAGUGCAGGAGAGGAAAGCGGAAUUCCUAGUGUAGCGGUGAAAUGCGUAGAUAUUAGGAAGAACACCAGUGGCGAAGGCGGCUUUCUGGACUGUAACUGACGCUGAGGCACGAAAGCGUGGGGAGCAAACAGGAUUAGAUACCCCUGUAGUC
This 442-nucleotide ribosomal RNA is filed under the name uncultured bacterium. RNAcentral's name for it is "partial 16S ribosomal RNA". It matches the Rfam family "Bacterial small subunit ribosomal RNA", at positions 339 to 795 of the family's 1533-position model. The record is from RNAcentral.